UACGUAGGGUGCAAGCGUUAUCCGGAAUUAUUGGGCGUAAAGAGCUCGUAGGCGGUUUGUCGCGUCUGCUGUGAAAACCUGAGGCUCAACCUCGGGCCUGCAGUGGGUACGGGCAGACUAGAGUGCGGUAGGGGAGAUUGGAAUUCCUGGUGUAGCGGUGGAAUGCGCAGAUAUCAGGAGGAACACCAGUGGCGAAGGCGGCUCACUGGACCGGAGCUGACGCUGAGGCGCGAAAGCGUGGGGAGCAAACGGG
This 253-nucleotide ribosomal RNA is filed under the name uncultured bacterium. RNAcentral describes it as "partial 16S ribosomal RNA". It matches the Rfam family "Bacterial small subunit ribosomal RNA", at positions 524 to 776 of the family's 1533-position model. The record is from RNAcentral.